This is a long non-coding RNA of Mandrillus leucophaeus (drill), 491 nucleotides long. RefSeq lists it as uncharacterized. The record is from RefSeq and is a predicted model, not a curated record. The transcript has 2 exons. Lineage: Eukaryota; Metazoa; Chordata; Mammalia; Primates; Cercopithecidae.
AGUAGGCUGGGCUCACAGCUGCAGCCCAGUUUUGGGCUAACCGGGAAUAGGGGCUUGAGAAGGCCCGGAGGCGAAGUCAAAGAGAAGCACCUGCGCCCCGGUGAAGAGACGCUCGCCCAUCAUCGGCUGGGAGGCAGCUUUCAGUAAGAUGGCAGGGCCAGAACUGUUGUUCGACUCCAACACCUGCCUUUGGAUGGUCCUACCCAUCGUUAUCACUUUCUUCGUAGGCAUGAUCCGCCACUACGUGUCCAUCCUACUGCAGAGUGACAAGAAGCUCACCCAGAAACAAGUAUAUGACAGGGGAUAAGACACCCAUAGUCCCUCUCCCAUAAGCCUGCCAUAAGAUUGAUGUGGCCCGUAUAACCUUUGACCUGUACAAGCUGAACCCACAGGACUUCAUUGGCUGCCUGAACGUGAAGGUGAUUUUUUAUGAUACGUACUCCCUUUCCUAAGAUCUCCACUGCUGUGGGGCCAAACGCAUCGUGAAGUAA